GCUGCAUGGUUGUCGUCAGCUCGUGCCGUGAGGUGUCCGGGUUAAGUCCCAUAACGAGCGCAACCCCUACCGCCAGUUGCCAACGGGUAAAGCCGGGGACUCAGGCGGGACUGCCGGCGUAAGCCGAGAGGAAGGCGGGGAUGACGUCAAAUCAGCACGGCCCUUACGUCCAGGGCUACACACGUGUUACAAUGGCCGGUACAGAGGGAGGCGACCCCGCGAGGGGGGAGCGGAUCGCAGAAAAUCGCCCUCAGUUCGGAUUGGAGUCUGAAACCCGACUCCAUGAAGGUGGAAUCGCUAGUAAUCGCGCAUCAGCAUGGCGCGGUGAAUACGUUCCCGGGCCUU
This 345-nucleotide ribosomal RNA is filed under the name uncultured Rikenellaceae bacterium. RNAcentral describes it as "bacterial SSU rRNA". It matches the Rfam family "Bacterial small subunit ribosomal RNA", at positions 1040 to 1382 of the family's 1533-position model. The record is from RNAcentral. Lineage: Bacteria; Pseudomonadati; Bacteroidota; Bacteroidia; Bacteroidales; Rikenellaceae.